GGCGCUAUGGCAGAGUGGUGAUGUAACGGACUGCAACUCCGUGUACCCCGGUUCGAUUCCGGGUGGCGCCUCCA
RNAcentral lists this transfer RNA (74 nucleotides) under Litorivicinus lipolyticus. RNAcentral describes it as "Litoricola lipolytica tRNA-Cys". It matches the Rfam family "tRNA". From Rfam's summary of the family: Transfer RNA (tRNA) molecules are approximately 80 nucleotides in length. The record is from RNAcentral. RNAcentral also lists the same sequence under 1 other name. Lineage: Bacteria; Pseudomonadati; Pseudomonadota; Gammaproteobacteria; Oceanospirillales; Litorivicinaceae.